RNAcentral lists this unclassified non-coding RNA (253 nucleotides) under uncultured Caldilineaceae bacterium. RNAcentral describes it as "contains 16S-23S intergenic spacer region". It matches the Rfam family "Bacterial small subunit ribosomal RNA", at positions 524 to 776 of the family's 1533-position model. Lineage: Bacteria; Bacillati; Chloroflexota; Caldilineae; Caldilineales; Caldilineaceae. The record is from RNAcentral.
UACGUAGGUGGCAAGCGUUAUCCGGAUUUACUGGGCGUAAAGCGCACGCAGGUGGCUGCUUAAGUCUGACGUGAAAGCUCCUGGCUUAACUGGGAGAGGUCGUUGGAAACUGGGUAGCUUGAGGCGAUGAGAGGGGUGUAGAAUUCCUGGUGUAGUGGUGGAAUGCGUAGAUAUCAGGAGGAAUACCAGUGGCGAAAGCGGCACCCUGGCAUUGGCCUGACGCUCAUGUGCGAAAGCGUGGGGAGCAAACGGG